UGGGGAAUCUUCCGCAAUGGGCGAAAGCCUGACGGAGCAACGCCGCGUGAGUUAAGACGGCCUUCGGGUUGUAAAACUCUGUGAUUCGGGACGAAAGAUAAGCAGACGAAUAAUCUGCAUAAGUGACGGUACCGAAAAAGCAAGCCACGGCUAACUACGUGCCAGCAGCCGCGGUAAUACGUAGGUGGCAAGCGUUGUUCGGAUUUACUGGACGUAAAGGGCGUGUAGGCGGCUAGAUAAGUGUGAUGUUUAAAUCCAAGGCUUAACCUUGGGGUUCCUUACAAACUGUUUAGCUUGCGUGCUGGAGAAGAUAGUGGAAUUCCUAGUGUAGCGGUAAAAUGCGUAUAUAUUAGGAGGAACACCGGUGGCGAAGGCGGAUAUCUGGACAGUAACUGACGCUGAGGCGCGAAAGCGUGGGGAGCAAACAGG
RNAcentral lists this ribosomal RNA (429 nucleotides) under Verrucomicrobiota bacterium. Its description in RNAcentral is "Verrucomicrobia bacterium partial 16S ribosomal RNA". It matches the Rfam family "Bacterial small subunit ribosomal RNA", at positions 355 to 776 of the family's 1533-position model. The record is from RNAcentral. Lineage: Bacteria; Pseudomonadati; Verrucomicrobiota.